This 450-nucleotide ribosomal RNA is filed under the name uncultured bacterium. Its description in RNAcentral is "partial 16S ribosomal RNA". It matches the Rfam family "Bacterial small subunit ribosomal RNA", at positions 338 to 795 of the family's 1533-position model. The record is from RNAcentral.
CCUACGGGUGGCUGCAGUGAGGAAUAUUGGGCAAUGCCCGCAAGGGUGACCCAGCAACGCCGCGUGGAGGAUGAAUGCCGUAAGGUUGUAAACUCCUUUUGAAGGGGACGAAAAAGUAGAUAGCCUCUACAUUGACUGUACCCUUAGAAGAAGCCCCGGCUAACUACGUGCCAGCAGCCGCGGUAAUACGUAGGGGGCAAGCGUUGUCCGGAUUUACUGGGUGUAAAGGGCGCGUAUGCGGGUCUGUAAGGAAAUCCUGCAGCUUAACUGUAGAACUGCCUCUGAUACUGCAAAUCUUGAGUUCAGAAGAGAGAAGCGGAAUUCCAGGUGUAGUGGUGAAAUACGUAGAUAUCUGGAAGAACACCAGUGGCGAAGGCGGCUUCUUGGUCUGUAACUGACGCUGAGGCGCGAAAGCGUGGGGAGCAAACAGGAUUAGAUACCCGAGUAGUC